This is a small nucleolar RNA of Meriones unguiculatus (Mongolian gerbil), 139 nucleotides long. Lineage: Eukaryota; Metazoa; Chordata; Mammalia; Rodentia; Muridae. The record is from Ensembl.
UUUGCCCCUAGAGACAUUGGAGGUGUGGCCACCAUGCCACAUGUGUGUAAGGAGGUGACAGAGAAGAGAGAGGCUAAGUCUACUCCUCUACACUUAGUAUCUGGUCUGUAAAUAUCUGAAUGACUAGUAGCCUAACACU